AUACUAACCUGGCGCCGUGGAGAAGGACGAUCUCGCAGGUCCUGCCACCGGGUGGAGUCUCUCCAUUGCACUCCGGACAGAUGAAGCUCGCUGCAAGUGCAAAUGGCACUAUGCUGGACGUGUAAUUUGUGUUAGCGGGUGCUGUGGCAACACGGCACCUC
RNAcentral lists this small nuclear RNA (161 nucleotides) under Mnemiopsis leidyi (sea walnut). RNAcentral describes it as "U1 spliceosomal RNA". It matches the Rfam family "U1 spliceosomal RNA". From Rfam's summary of the family: U1 is a small nuclear RNA (snRNA) component of the spliceosome (involved in pre-mRNA splicing). Its 5' end forms complementary base pairs with the 5' splice junction, thus defining the 5' donor site of an intron. There are significant differences in sequence and secondary structure between metazoan and yeast U1 snRNAs, the latter being much longer (568 nucleotides as compared to 164 nucleotides in human). Lineage: Eukaryota; Metazoa; Ctenophora; Tentaculata; Lobata; Bolinopsidae. The record is from RNAcentral.